UGGCAGUUAAAGAACAGAAACAGAGCAAUAAGACUGCAUGGCUACAUUUUUCCAGUGCCACCAACUGGGAGUUAAACUGACUAACAUUUUGAAAGCCCAGCCCAUUUCCUUCACAGCAGGCCGGGCAGG
Molecule: unclassified non-coding RNA, 129 nt
Organism: Ursus americanus (American black bear)
Lineage: Eukaryota; Metazoa; Chordata; Mammalia; Carnivora; Ursidae
Source: Ensembl